ACGCUGGCGGCGUGCUUAAUACAUGCAAGUCGAGCGAAGUUUUUCUGGUGCUUGCACUAGAAAAACUUAGCGGCGAACGGGUGAGUAACACGUAAAGAACCUGCCUCAUAGACUGGGACAACUAUUGGAAACGAUAGCUAAUACCGGAUAACAGUAUUUCUCGCAUGGGAGAUAUUUAAAAGUUGGUUAUGCUAACACUAUGAGAUGGCUUUGCGGUGCAUUAGCUAGUUGGUGGGGUAAAGGCCCACCAAGGCGACGAUGCAUAGCCGACCUGAGAGGGUGAUCGGCCACACUGGGACUGAGACACGGCCCAGACUCCUACGGGAGGCAGCAGUAGGGAAUCUUCCGCAAUGGGCGAAAGCCUGACGGAGCAACGCCGCGUGAGUGAAGAAGGAUUUCGGUUCGUAAAGCUCUGUUGUUAGGGAAGAAUGGAUAUGUAGUAACUAUACAUGUACGAGACGGUACCUAACCAGAAAGCCACGGCUAACUACGUGCCAGCAGCCGCGGUAAUACGUAGGUGGCAAGCGUUGUCCGGAAUUAUUGGGCGUAAAGCGCGCGCAGGUGGUUUAAUAAGUCUGAUGUGAAAGCCCACGGCUCAACCGUGGAGGGUCAUUGGAAACUGUUAAACUUGAGUGCAGGAGAGAAAAGUGGAAUUCCUAGUGUAGCGGUGAAAUGCGUAGAGAUUAGGAGGAACACCAGUGGCGAAGGCGGCUUUUUGGCCUGUAACUGACACUGAGGCGCGAAAGCGUGGGGAGCAAACAGGAUUAGAUACCCUGGUAGUCCACGCCGUAAACGAUGAGUGCUAAGUGUUGGUCUCAUAAGAGAUCAGUGCUGCAGCUAACGCAUUAAGCACUCCGCCUGGGGAGUACGACCGCAAGGUUGAAACUCAAAAGGAAUUGACG
RNAcentral lists this ribosomal RNA (902 nucleotides) under uncultured bacterium. RNAcentral's name for it is "bacterial SSU rRNA". It matches the Rfam family "Bacterial small subunit ribosomal RNA", at positions 33 to 915 of the family's 1533-position model. The record is from RNAcentral.